AUUGAACGCUGGCGGCAGGCUUAACACAUGCAAGUCGAGCGGUAACAGGAGAAGCUUGCUUCUCGCUGACGAGCGGCGGACGGGUGAGUAAUACUUAGGAAUCUACCUAGUAGUGGGGGAUAGCUCGGGGAAACUCGAAUUAAUACCGCAUACGACCUACGGGAGAAAGGGGGCAACUUGUUGCUCUCGCUAUUAGAUGAGCCUAAGUCGGAUUAGCUAGAUGGUGGGGUAAAGGCCUACCAUGGCGACGAUCUGUAGCUGGUCUGAGAGGAUGAUACGCCACACCGGGACUGAGACACGGCCCGGACUCCUACGGGAGGCAGCAGUGGGGAAUAUUGGACAAUGGGGGCAACCCUGAUCCAGCCAUGCCGCGUGUGUGAAGAAGGCCUUUUGGUUGUAAAGCACUUUAAGCAGUGAAGAAGACUCUAGGGUUAAUACCCUUAGACGAUGACAUUAGCUGCAGAAUAAGCACCGGCUAACUCUGUGCCAGCCGCCGCAGUAA
Molecule: ribosomal RNA, 502 nt
Filed under: uncultured bacterium
Lineage: Bacteria
Description: partial 16S ribosomal RNA
Rfam family: Bacterial small subunit ribosomal RNA
Source: RNAcentral